Lepidothrix coronata (blue-crowned manakin) is the source of this 349-nucleotide long non-coding RNA. RefSeq lists it as uncharacterized. Lineage: Eukaryota; Metazoa; Chordata; Aves; Passeriformes; Pipridae. The transcript is spliced from 4 exons. The record is from RefSeq and is a predicted model, not a curated record.
GGAGAAUGGGAGUAGAGACAUGUUACCUGGAGCAGCCUGUGCCAAGCCAUGUGGUCCUGUCACACACCAGGGAGUUUGCCUUGCUGUUAGUGCUGUGGGCAGGCUGUGUCCCAUCCUGCACUGGCUGCAGACAAGUGCUGCAGAGGCUGCCCUCACAUCUGCAGGGAAAUUUAAGAAGGAAAAGCAUUAAAUCAGAAAGGCUCUAUUAAACCAGACUGUUACCAGAUAUACAGAAGAACCCACUGGGAUUGGUCUUGUCCUUACUGCUGAAUGAUGCUGUGAACCAUGUGAUUCACUGUUUCCAAUGCUGCUGCUGGCAUUUGUGUCUUUUUCUGAAAGUACACUGUCU